Molecule: ribosomal RNA, 253 nt
Filed under: uncultured bacterium
Lineage: Bacteria
Description: partial 16S ribosomal RNA
Rfam family: Bacterial small subunit ribosomal RNA
Source: RNAcentral
UACGUAGGUGGCAAGCGUUGUCCGGAUUUACUGGGCGUAAAGAGCGCGCAGGCGGUCGUUCAAGUCGAGUGUGAAAUCCCCCGGCUCAACUGGGGUGGGACACUCGAUACUGAUCGACUCGAAGGCAGGAGAGGGAAGUGGAAUUCCCGGUGUAGUGGUGAAAUGCGUAGAUAUCGGGAGGAACACCAGUGGCGAAGGCGACUUCCUGGCCUGUUCUUGACGCUGAGGCGCGAAAGCUAGGGGAGCAAACGGG